Molecule: ribosomal RNA, 475 nt
Filed under: uncultured bacterium
Lineage: Bacteria
Description: partial 16S ribosomal RNA
Rfam family: Bacterial small subunit ribosomal RNA
Source: RNAcentral
GACGAACGCUGGCGGCGUGCCUAAUACAUGCAAGUUGAGCGCUGAAGGUUGGUAUUUGUGCCAAGUUGGUGAGCCGAGCACGUGAGAGUCACGCGAGGGGCCUCUGCUUUAGUGUGGGGGACAAAAUGUGAAAACGAAUGCUAAUACCGCAUGAACACUUUAAACACGGGUUGUGAGUGUGAAAGAUGCAGUUGGGUGAUUUAGAGAUGGUUCCGCGUUUUAUUAGUUAGUUGGUGGGGUAAUGGGUCACCAAGGCGUUGAUGGGUAGCCGGCCUGAGCGGGUGACCGGCCACAUUGGGAAUGAGAUACGGCACAGACGCCUACGGGAGGAAGCAGUGGAGAAUAUUGCAGAAUGGGCGGAAGCCUGAUGCAGCAACGCCGCGUGCGGGAUGACGGCCUUCGGGUUGUAAACUGCUUUCGCCUGUGACGAAGCGUGAGUGACGGUAAUGGGUAAAGAAGCACCGGCUAACUACGU